CCGGCCCCCUGCUCCCUGUCUCUCGUCCGUCUCUCACUGUACUCAAGCUCGUCAUCCUCUAUCGCCGGUAUCUGUCUCUCUAUCCAAUCUCGUCUGUCCUGAGAAUGUGUAGUUGAAUAAGUUAUUUAGCACGAGAUUCUUUUAUUUAAUCUCUUGUUGAAACUUGAAACAAACACGAGCACAAGUUUUACCUCUCCUCACUUAUUGUUUAGUCCUUUUCUUUGGAUUUACAUUCUGAUCAUGUUUUUGGAUAGAUGGUUCUUUCUUUCUUUCUUUCUAAUGAUUUUUAAUUGCCAUUUGAGUUGCAUUGAACAGUGAUGAAGCCUGUUAGCAUGCAUGGACAUAAACACAACCCAGUAGCUCCCUGUUAAUCCUCUCCCAUUUGCUAGAAGGUACUGUUUUCUUGAUUUCUUCUUCUCCAGUGUUUGGUUGCUUAGAGAAUGCCUUCAAAAAGAAAGAAAAAAUAGAACUUUCUUUUGCCUUUUUUUCCUCGAACAAUCAACAGGUCACUAAUUAUUCUUUUGUUUAUGUAAUCUUGUGUUUUCUACACAUGGAUUUUGUUGUUUUUCUAUGUUGGGAUAGUAUUUUUUUCCGUCAUCAACUGUAGGCUUUGGAAAAGGUGCUAAAGUAGAACACAAUUGUGUGUUUUGGAGACUGAUUCUAGCAAGACUUUGAUUACCACCAUACUACAGCGCAGUUAUGCCUAUCUUCUUCGCAAGCCUUCAUGUUGCCAAGCAUGGCAGAUUAAGCUCCUUUCUUUUCUGCAUGUGUCUAUAUUAAGCCAAGCAUUGAAUGUUAAAAAAUUGAGCCUUUUCUUUUCUUCUCUGGGUAUGAAUUAUUGCUGUAGAUUUUUAUUGUAAACAUGGGUUACUUGAAGAAGCUGAGCAACUGUUUGAUAAAAUGACUCUUGAGAG
RNAcentral lists this long non-coding RNA (914 nucleotides) under Populus tremula. RNAcentral's name for it is "long non-coding RNA (PTRE_LNC000975)". Lineage: Eukaryota; Viridiplantae; Streptophyta; Magnoliopsida; Malpighiales; Salicaceae. The record is from RNAcentral.